This 490-nucleotide ribosomal RNA is filed under the name uncultured bacterium. RNAcentral's name for it is "partial 16S ribosomal RNA". It matches the Rfam family "Bacterial small subunit ribosomal RNA", at positions 30 to 507 of the family's 1533-position model. The record is from RNAcentral.
AUUGAACGCUGGCGGCAGGCCUAACACAUGCCAGUCGAACGGUAACAGGAAACAGCUUGCUGUUUCGCUGACGAGUGGCGGACGGGUGAGUAAUGUCUGGGAAACUGCCUGAUGGAGGGGGAUAACUACUGGAAACGGUAGCUAAUACCGCAUAACGUCGCAAGACCAAAGAGGGGGACCUUCGGGCCUCUUGCCAUCGGAUGUGCCCAGAUGGGAUUAGCUAGUAGGUGGGGUAAAGGCUCACCUAGGCGACGAUCCCUAGCUGGUCUGAGAGGAUGACCAGCCACACUGGAACUGAGACACGGUCCAGACUCCUACGGGAGGCAGCAGUGGGGAAUAUUGCACAAUGGGCGCAAGCCUGAUGCAGCCAUGCCGCGUGUAUGAAGAAGGCCUUCGGGUUGUAAAGUACUUUCAGCGGGGAGGAAGGGAGUAAAGUUAAUACCUUUGCUCAUUGACGUUACCCGCAGAAGAAGCACCGGCUAACUCCGUG